UUUAUCUUGAAACGUCUCUCUCAAUUGUCCCGUACUUUGGCAACUAACCGUUUGCUUAGCCUCGGUGCUUCAGCAAAGCAACAAUCAACCCGCCUCAAGUCAAACGCGGCUUUCUGCGCCCGCAUAAGAGUGCGAGUAGGUUGGAACAUUCGCAUGUGACGUUGAACAAUCUGCUAGUCGACACCCGACUCACUGCGUCUCGCUCGUUAGCGCGACGCCGUGCGUAACAGACAAGCGAGCGCCAUCAUCAUCGCGUCGACUGAAGCCAGAAAAACACAACGACCGGCGCACCGCCCACUUGAUGUCGACUUAUGACUGUUCGCUUUACUUUUGGCAACUUUUUGCAAUCUCUUUUUCGCCAACCAGUGUACCUACAAAUGUGCAAGCUGACAAUCCAGAUUCGAACCGUAAAAACUUAAGUCUGGACGAACGAUGGUCACCCCGUUGAGGACCACGAACAUGCCGAAGACAGAUUAGCCCACAGCUGAACCGAACCGUAGCAAGCCCGCACUUUGCUAACUCGCAAGUAUACUUGAUUAAGCGUUAAAUUUAACCGUCACUCAUCCAGCCGAAAGGCUUGCU
Molecule: ribosomal RNA, 582 nt
Filed under: Tetra pinnatifidae
Lineage: Eukaryota; Metazoa; Arthropoda; Arachnida; Trombidiformes; Eriophyidae
Description: bacterial LSU rRNA
Source: RNAcentral